UACAGAGGGGGCAAGCGUUGUUCGGAAUUACUGGGCGUAAAGGGCGCGUAGGCGGCCUGAUAAGUAGGGGGUGAAAUCCUGCGGCUUAACCGCAGGGCUGCCUUCUAAACUGUCGGGCUCGAGCACAGUAGAGGCAGGUGGAAUUCCCGGUGUAGCGGUGGAAUGCGUAGAGAUCGGGAAGAACAUCAGUGGCGAAGGCGGCCUGCUGGGCUGUUGCUGACGCUGAGGCGCGACAGCGUGGGGAGCGAACAGG
RNAcentral lists this ribosomal RNA (253 nucleotides) under uncultured bacterium. Its description in RNAcentral is "partial 16S ribosomal RNA". It matches the Rfam family "Bacterial small subunit ribosomal RNA", at positions 524 to 776 of the family's 1533-position model. The record is from RNAcentral.